This is a non-coding RNA of Triticum urartu, 2114 nucleotides long. The record is from RefSeq and is a predicted model, not a curated record. NCBI's taxonomy places the organism in Eukaryota, Viridiplantae, Streptophyta, Magnoliopsida, Poales, Poaceae.
ACCUUUUUUUUGUACCAUCCCGACCUAACCUGGACGAUUCUUGCAACCAAACACAUCCUAACUAGUGGCAAAUUGUCUCGGGCAUAUGGCAUCCUACCGAGCAUGCCCUCUCCGCCUCCACAGAUCGCAUCGCCGCCCAGGGAAACGAUGAGCCGCGAGGCCAGCGGCGCGUCGGUGAGCUCUGUCCCGGUACCCGAGCCAGAGCGGCAGCAGGGGCAGGGGAACCAAGGGGAGGAGGCGGGGUGGACGCCGCUGGAGAAGGUGGCGGAUAAAGUGGAGGAGCUGUACAGUCUCCGCGACACCUUCUUCCCCCGAGACCCCUCCGAGAAGUCUGCGUCCCUCCGCGCCUGCGCCGACGCCGCCCUGGGAGUCCUCGAUUCCCUGCCUCCCGAGCAAAGAAAAUCCCCAGAAGAGCGUGUUAUUUAUGAAUUUUUGAUGGGGAAAAUACUCGAUGUCUUCCCAGAUUAUUGUAAGGAGGCUGAAGAGCAUUUAUCCAAAGCAGUAAAGCUGAAUCCAUCUCUUGUGGAUGCAUGGCUAUGUUUGGGUAACUGCAUCUGGAAGAAGGGGAAUUUGGCAUCAGCAAGGAACUGUUUCUUAUUAGCACUAAGUAAGGGUGCAGAUAAGAAAAUACUAUGUCAACUCUCAAUGCUUGAAAGGAGUAUGGCUCAAUCUAGUGAAGACCAAGCGUUGUUAGUGGAAGAGAGCAUUAAUCAUGCAAAAGAAGCUGUAAUGCUGGACAUAAAAGAUGGAAAUUCCUGGUAUAAUCUGGGUAAUGCAUACCUCACAAGCUUCUUUGCGAGCGGAGCCUGGGACAAAGCUAGGCUUCAUCAUUCGAUCAAAGCAUAUCAAAAUGCUGAGAAGGAUGAAACUAUGAAACUAAAUCCAGACCUCUACUAUAAUUGUGCCACAGCUUACAAAUACUUAGAGAACUAUGAAAGUGCCCUUCGCGGAUUUGAAGCUGCUGCGUUAAAAGAUCCUGCUCUCAGGGCUGACAUAGAAGUUCAGAAGAUCAUCAAUCUCCUUGAUAAGUUAGAGAAUGCAACGAAGGUACCUUCUGUAACUAUAGGACGACUACGACCCAAGAGAUCAGCAUCAUUGGUGUCAUCUCUGAAUGAAGUCAAUUUCAAGUUAUUCCACAAGAAAGCAACCAUAAGCAUCCUAUCAGGAGGUUUGAACAAGACAGUUGCUGUUGUGUGUAAAGUGGUUCUUUGGAUAAGACAUGACGAUGAUGCUCCACUGUCUCCCGAAGAAGAUGGUGUCCACAUAUGCUGAUCCUCCACCUCAUAAGUGAGAUUAAAUACAGCUAAGAACUUCUGCUUAAUAGUAAAGAUGAGGAGCAGGAUUUGCACUAGUAUAAAUCAAUACUGUCGAUGCACUGCGACUCACUGUGCUGCAUCAUGCUAUUUGGUCGCCACAAUAAUCCACAUGGUCCCAAGGCCAUCCCCACGGUAUUAUUUAACAUGUGACUUGGAUCAGUCUUAUUUCAUACUAUCAGUUUACGGGCUACAGAAUGAAGCAAUUAAAGAAGGCGAUCGAGUGGUACUGCUGGAACCAUACUACAAAAUCCUAGAUAUAUCUUGGAAAGAACAGCGCUAUAAGUUCAAGUCAAUUCGUGUGGACUUUCCAGAACAAAUUAUUAUCAACGAGAAAGCUCCAGCUGCUCAUCAUGUUGCCCGGGCUUCAAUUCGUGCGCAGCAUAAACCAUAAUUGUUGUCUAAACUGUCACGCCUGCAGAUGGACCUGCAGCGGACUGAAGAGUGCAAGUGCAGAACCUGAACUUGCAACGACCAAGUCAGCGGGGAGGCUGGGCUGGGACCCACCUGCCAGGGGUGUGCGUGUGUGCUACGCCAGCUGUAGCCUACUUGUAACCGUGUGAGUGAACAGACGAUGGCAAUGAGAAAAUAGAUUAACUACUUUCCCCUUCCUCACGUCUCUCUCGCUCUUACCUACCCUGCUCCUCUUCCUCUCCCCUGAUCUCCUUUCCCCUCUCGAUCCCCUCUUGAUCGGGUCGUGACAAAAACACUCCAAUUAUUACCUUAUUUGUUGUACUGGACUUUUAGGCGUACAAGAGAAAGUGUACACAAAAAGGUUAUUAAGUGAUGUCCAUCCACUCA